This 1155-nucleotide ribosomal RNA is filed under the name Triticum aestivum (bread wheat). RNAcentral's name for it is "partial small subunit ribosomal RNA". Lineage: Eukaryota; Viridiplantae; Streptophyta; Magnoliopsida; Poales; Poaceae. The record is from RNAcentral.
AUGUGUGAGGCCAUAGGCAAAUUUGGUCCUGGAUAUGAGCCUCCUACUCAAUAUGAGCUUAGGGAGAAGUUGUUGAGUGAUGAAUAUGCAAGGACCAAGAGUUUGUUAGAUGAACGUGAGAAGGAGAAGAUAAAGCUUGGGUGCACCAUCAUGACAGAUGCAUGGACGGACAUGAAGAGGAGGAGCAUAAUGAAUUUGUGCAUGCAUUGCAGUGGGGGGACAAGUUUUCUCAAAUCAAAGGAAACAUCUGAUGUGUCACAUACAAGUGACGUCAUAUUUCAGCUAGUGGACAGCGCAAUUGAGGAGGUAGGGGCGGAGCAUGUGAUGCAAGUGGUGACGGACAAUGCUUCCAAUAACAUGGGAGCCAAGAAAAUGUUGCUUGAGAAGAGGCCGAAGAUCUUUUGGAGCUCUUGUGCAACUCACACUAUCAACUUAAUGCUCCAAGGAAUUGGCAGCCUCAACAGAUUCAAAACAAUAAUUGAUCAAGCAAAGAACCUCACCAUCUUCAUCUAUGCGCAUCACAAGACUUUGGCAUUGAUGAGGGUUGCUACAAAAAGGAGAGAUAUCAUAAGGCCGGGGGUGACUAGAUUUGCUUCCGCUUUUCUCACAUUGCAAAGUUUGUUGGAGAAGAAAGAUGCUUUAAGGUAUAUGGUGGUUGAAAGAGCUUGGGAAGAUAUGAAAAAUGUGAAAACAAAGAAAGGCAAGGAUGCAACAGCAACGGUGAUGGAUGCAAACUUUUGGAAAGGUGUGCUCCUAUGCAUAAAGGUGUUUGAGCCAUUGGUGAGAGUACUUCGUUUGGUUGAUGGGGAUAUUAAGCCAUCGAUGGCUUGGUUGUAUGGAGAGUUGGUGAAUGCAAAGAGGGAGAUGAAGGAGGCAUUUAACAACUUGGAGAGGAACUACAAAGAUAAUAUGGGCAUUGUUGAAAAGAAGAUGAAUGGAAGGCUAGAUUCUCCACUGCACAUGGCCGCAUAUGUGUUGAACCCACACUAUAGUUAUGCAGAUAGCUCCGUCUUUACCACUGCAAAUGAAGGAUUUCAGGAGUGUGCUGAACAAUACUAUGGAAAUGAUCAUGAUACUUGCAUGCUGGUUGUCAAUGACGAGUUUCUGAAAUAUGAAAACAAAGAAGGAACUUUUGGAAAGAAGCUUGCAAAAUGA